Molecule: ribosomal RNA, 470 nt
Filed under: uncultured organism
Description: partial 16S ribosomal RNA
Rfam family: Bacterial small subunit ribosomal RNA
Source: RNAcentral
CACUCCUACGGGAGGCAGCAGUGAGGAAUAUUGGACAAUGGGUGGAAGCCUGAUCCAGCCAUCCCGCGUGCAGGAAGACGGCCCUAUGGGUUGUAAACUGCUUUUAUCUGGGGAUAAACCUACUUACGUGUAAGUAGCUGAAGGUACCAGAAGAAUAAGCACCGGCUAACUCCGUGCCAGCAGCCGCGGUAAUACGGAGGGUGCAAGCGUUAUCCGGAUUUAUUGGGUUUAAAGGGUCCGUAGGCGGACUGAUAAGUCAGUGGUGAAAUCCGACAGCUUAACUGUCGAACUGCCAUUGAUACUGUUAGUCUUGAGUAAGGUUGAAGUGGCUGGAAUAAGUAGUGUAGCGGUGAAAUGCAUAGAUAUUACUUAGAACACCAAUUGCGAAGGCAGGUCACUAAGUCUUAACUGACGCUGAUGGACGAAAGCGUGGGGAGCGAACAGGAUUAGAAACCCGUGUAGUCCCAUGA